RNAcentral lists this ribosomal RNA (497 nucleotides) under uncultured bacterium. Its description in RNAcentral is "partial 16S ribosomal RNA". It matches the Rfam family "Bacterial small subunit ribosomal RNA", at positions 28 to 507 of the family's 1533-position model. The record is from RNAcentral.
GAUGAACGCUGGCGGCGUGCCUAAUACAUGCAAGUCGAGCGAACAGACGAGGAGCUUGCUCCUCUGACGUUAGCGGCGGACGGGUGAGUAACACGUGGAUAACCUACCUAUAAGACUGGGAUAACUUCGGGAAACCGGAGCUAAUACCGUAUAAUAUAUUGAACCGCAUGGUUCAAUAGUGAAAGACGGUUUUGCUGUCACUUAUAGAUGGAUCCGCGCCGCAUUAGCUAGUUGGUAAGGUAACGGCUUACCAAGGCAACGAUGCGUAGCCGACCUGAGAGGGGGGUCGGCCACACUGGAACUGAGACACGGUCCAGGCUCCUACGGGAGGCAGCAGUAGGGAAUCUUCCGCAAUGGGCGAAAGCAUGACGGAGCAACGCCGCGUGAGUGAUGAAGGUCUUCGGAUCGUAAAACUCUGUUAUUAGGGAAGAACAAAUGUGUAAGUAACUAUGCACGUCUUGACGGUACCUAAUCAGAAAGCCACGGCUAACUACGUG